AGAGAUUGAGAAAUAUCGACGAUACCGUCGUUUCGCCGCCGUUUCGCCGUUCGACGUCCGAUUCAAGCGGUUUUAGCGGCGAUUUCUUCAGCAUCGAGAGCUCUAUCAAUCCUACGCUUUUUUAAGAAUGGAUGAUGAAGGGGCUGUGCAUUUUUCCUUUGUACAUUUUAUAAUGCUAUAUGGAAGAAAUGCUUUGCAACGCAAUAUUCACAAAGAACAAGUUACAUGAACUGGAGAAAUUUCAUACAAAUUUUGUUGCAGGUUGAACCAAAUCAAGAAGCUGUAAUUAACAGAACAAUAUAAGAGAUCAAGUUGUAAAUAGAUGGAAAAAGAUGACUUAAUUUAUCCUUGUCUACUUAUUAUAAUUGUUGUUCAUUGGUUUGGUUCAUAUUUUGAAUAUUCUGAAGAGUAUUUUGGUCCUGGAUUGCUUCCA
Molecule: long non-coding RNA, 433 nt
Organism: Mercurialis annua (annual mercury)
Lineage: Eukaryota; Viridiplantae; Streptophyta; Magnoliopsida; Malpighiales; Euphorbiaceae
Exons: 2
Source: RefSeq, a predicted model, not a curated record